RNAcentral lists this ribosomal RNA (249 nucleotides) under uncultured bacterium. RNAcentral's name for it is "partial 16S ribosomal RNA". It matches the Rfam family "Bacterial small subunit ribosomal RNA", at positions 524 to 776 of the family's 1533-position model. The record is from RNAcentral.
UACAGAGGGUGCAAGCGUUGUUCGGAAUUAUUGGGCGUAAAGGGCGCGUAGGCGGUGCGGUAAGUCUGUAGUGAAAUCUCUGGGCUCAACUCAGAGUCUGCUGCAGAAACUGCCGUGCUUGAGUGUGGGAGAGGUGAGUGGAAUUCCGGUGUAGCGGUGAAAUGCGUAGAUAUCGGGAGGAACACCUGUGGCGAAAGCGCUCACUGGACCACAACUGACGCUGAGGCGCGAAAGCUAGGGAGCAACAGG